Ailuropoda melanoleuca (giant panda) is the source of this 1875-nucleotide long non-coding RNA. RefSeq lists it as uncharacterized. Lineage: Eukaryota; Metazoa; Chordata; Mammalia; Carnivora; Ursidae. The transcript is spliced from 3 exons. The record is from RefSeq and is a predicted model, not a curated record.
GUCAUCAUAGCAAUGCCAGGCCCUCCCGAGCUCCCCAGGCCGACCCAGGACUUGAACGUGAAGGGAGAGCAGUGUGUCAUCCCGAACAAUCAGAGAGGAUGAGCAGUGACCUUGAGCAAGCUCACCCUGAAUUUGGCUCAGCUCAGAAGCCAAAGGCACAGCAGGCGUCCUCAGGUGCUGGAUCCUGCAAGAGCUGCCUGAGUGCCCUGGUCCCUGGCCCUCCUCCAGGGUCCCCUUGGCCUCCAUGCCACACACGGGCAUGGCACGUGGCCUCCUCCUGCCGUCCUCACCCCUGCAGAGGGCCAGCCGGCCAGGUGACGUGUUGCGAGACUCCGAGGUCUCUGCUGGUGAGGCAACUGAGGCCAGAGAACUUGAGUGACCCCGCAUCUGUGGGAUCCUGGAACUGAGAGCCACCGUGGUACGUUGCUUGCCCAAGGCAGACAAUCAGGGUGUGUUGAAUGAAUGAGUGACCUCAUUGACAAGGACACCUUACUACCCCACGAAGCAGUCUGCUCUACGGCGGGAUGCUUCCAGUUCCUGCAAAAUUCUCUCUUUCACUGAGUAAACAUUGCCUGCCCUUUAUCAUACCUCCUUCCCCCUGGCCGUGGUUCUGCCCCGUAGCCAUCUCCUGAUGCCGAGGGGCUUGGGUCACCACGGCUACCUCCAUUCCCAGGAUCCGGAGGGGCCCUCCCUCCCCACUCACAUCCUCAGGCCCAAGCCCAGCCCUGCCCAGGGACCACAGGGCUGAGUCUGGGCCGUGACCACCUCCCCCUCGGUACAGAGAGAGCCAGAUCCCCCUCCCUAGAGAGCAGGUGCUAAGGCCUCUACAGGGAUAUGAAGCCCCUGUCACAGUGAUGUGGGAGCCACGGGUACUGGCUUUGUAACCCCCGCCCACCACCGGGUCAGGUUACGGCAGGAGCAGGACGCAGGUGGGAGCUGGCGGACGGGAGGGGGUGCACACGGGGAGACGUUCAUUCCAGCAAUCUGAGCAAUGCCACGCUUGGUUAGCUCUGCAAGUGACAUUGCUUCGGAGCUGACCAGCUGUGGCCCCAAGGCUGACCUGACUAGACGGCUGUGAGACCCAGUCUCAGGCUAUGAAGCCUCCACAGCACUUGUGGGGCAGGUGGGCAGGGGGUGGAAGAGACUUCAGGGCAUGAGCCUCCCCACCCCCCACCCUGCAUGGCAGUGCAACCAGCCUGUCGUGAAGUCCGGCAGGGGAGCACACCUGAGUCGCCUGCUGGCCCCUCCAGACACGAUGGGAAGUCUACCUGUCUGCAGGAAUCAUCCUGCCCCAGUCACGUGACCACAGCAGGGGUCCCAGGACAGGGGCCCCUUCUGUCUGCCCUUGAAGGGUCAGGCCCCUGGGACAGGCUGGGACUGCUCCCUCCUGCCUCUGGGGCUGAGACCUUCAACGAUCCAGACCCAGGACCUCCGGCCGCGUGCUGGUUGGCCAAGGGAGCUCCCCCUGACCCCGGGAGCGAUGAGAGACAUUGGUUCCAACAACACCUUCAAGUCAGUGUGACAGUUUCGAGCCUGGGGUGGGGGCCAGGGUGAGCCGAGCUCGAAUCCCAACCUGCAGGUCACUUCACUGCCCCGGCCUCAACUUGGUUUUUGUAAACCGUGGAUGAGUGAUGCUUUUCUCGCCGAGCACAGGAGUCCUUCGAGCCAAUCUCAAGAGCUUCCGUACCCUGUGACUCUAUUUAUUGGGCUUUCUUGAAAUAACACAAUGAAAGAAAUGGAGAGCAGAUUGGUGGUUGCCAGGGGUCAGGGAAGAGGAGGCAGGGGAAGGUGAGGAUAUCUGUGAAAGGACAAGAAAAGAGACCCUCGUGGAAAGAAUGGAAAACAAGGGGGCGCCUGGGUGGCUUAGUCCAUUUA